Molecule: ribosomal RNA, 113 nt
Filed under: Octodon degus (degu)
Lineage: Eukaryota; Metazoa; Chordata; Mammalia; Rodentia; Octodontidae
Source: RNAcentral
GUCUACAGCCAUACUACCCUGAAUGCGCCUGAUUGCCUCUGAUCUCGGAAGCUAAGCAGAGUCAGGCCUGGUUAGUACUUGGAUGGGAAAUGAAACUCAGUGUGCCAAAGGAA